UGCGGAAGGAUCAUUAAUGAGUUGUAAUGGGAGUUGAUGCUGGCAGCUUGGCUGGAUGUGCUCGCUCCUAACAAUGUUCAUCUAAACACCUGUGCACAUUUAGAGAGGGGUCUCCGAGUUGUGCUUGGGGUGCCUUCCUCUGAUUACAGACUUUAUCUAAAUAUUGAACGUGAAUUGUGCCGUGAGGCCUUAAUAUUAAUACAACUUUUAACAACGGAUCUCUUGGCUCUCGCAUCGAUGAAGAACGCAGCGAAAUGCGAUAAGUAAUGUGAAUUGCAGAAUUCAGUGAAUCAUCGAAUUUUUGAACGCACCUUGCGCUCCCUGGUAUUCCGGGGAGCACGCCUGUUCGAGUGUCGUGAAAUUGUCAAACUGGGAUGCUUUUUGUGUCUCGGCUUGGUAUUGGGCUUUGCAGUUCCUUUGAUUGGGAUGGCUGGCCUGAAAAGCAUUAGACUGGCCUUUUGAUGUGGGAUUGGUUCUACU
Molecule: unclassified non-coding RNA, 480 nt
Filed under: uncultured fungus
Lineage: Eukaryota; Fungi
Description: partial contains 18S rRNA, ITS1, 5.8S rRNA, ITS2, and 26S rRNA
Rfam family: 5.8S ribosomal RNA (bases 203-356)
Source: RNAcentral